ACAGUCUGUGAGUGCUACAUUGUACAGCCACACUCACGGAUGCCCAAUCCUCCCUGGUUCCCCUGUGCUCACGCAGUUUCGAGGCAAGAGAUCUCGAGGAUCUUCUGAUGUCUAUGAGGGAAUGGAAGAGCAGGGGAAGGAAAAGAGUCAGAAGGCAGACAAUUUGGGAACAGCUGUCACACAUGGGGAACUGCUGCACGAAUUCUCCUCUCUAUGCCAUUGAGGCCACUUCUCUGCGCACCAAUGUGCUCUGCUGAUGCCGGAAGAGUAAGGUCAUAUUUUCUUUGUAAAUGGUAGGGGAAGGAAAUGGCCUAAGUGACACAGUCGGACCUGCGGGCACGUCAGACCCAUGGCCCAGAGGAGGAGGGCUGUGCUCCCACUGCCUGGGGCUGUCCGUGUAGUAGGAUCUCUGCUGCAGAGCCGGAACAGGAGACGGUGACACGGAGCAGAGCCGGCCCUGGAAGCCCACGGGCUCCACAAUGGCGGGAACGUGAGAGCUUGCCCCCAAACCCGAAGGAUUUUGCCCCGCUCUGGGCGGCUGCGGUGCCCGGGCUGCCGUGCACGGAGCUCGACCGCCCCCGCCCGGCCAGAGCACUGCUCUUCUGUGACAGCUCGGAAGAAAGAAACGUUUUCACCGCAGCACAUCCGGGAGCGCAUUCCGACCUGCGCUUUGGUGCGCACUGGCAGGCUGACUUCUGCAGCCUGAACACUUUUUGUUCCCCUCCAGCUUGAGUUUGCUUCCCCCAUCUGCAGCUAGCACAGCUGCGAGCAGCCCUGGCUUGGAAACUCCCCACCCCAUGCCAACUGCUGAGGAGCUGUGAGAUGGUGAACACAGGAGUGUGACCAGUCUGCCUGGGUGUGCUGUGUUUGGAGCUCUGAUACAGCCUCAGCAAAGCUCUUUAACCCUCUAGGCCCUACAGCUCCGGGGGUUGUGUAUGUCUGUGGAGCUCUUACUCUGGGGCUGAGGGGCUGAGUUGGGUGCUGUGUGCACAUACGCAGCUGUGUGCUGAGCCAGGUGCUCUGCGGGCACACAAAAGGUGCUCAGCUCCACCCCAGCAGUGCUGAGGAGUGAUCCCUCACUCUGGAGGUGAUGUGCUCUGGUGCUGCUGGAUGCUGACUGAAGUCGCAUUCACAGCUCACAGAAAAGGUGUCUUUAGGUGUUCUGCUUUCUUUAAAAACUGACAAGGGGCUUUCAGAAAUUAAAGUACACAGUAUUGAACAGCUGGGUGUUUGUCUUGAAUCUCUCCUCAACAGCUACUCAGGAGAGCUCCAAAGACCCACCUGGUUCCUGCGGAUCACUGAUGUGGGUUUCCUGAGUUGUAUUCAGUAUUUGAUUGAGAAACAAGGGCCCUCUACCAGACUCAAUAUGUGGCAAGACUUAAAAGGUCUUUUAUUCUAUAUUUUUGUGCACACUUUUAAGAGAACACAAACCCAACAUACUUCCAUCAUGAGGUGGCUUGUAGCCCUGGUUAACGUUUGCCUCAUGCUUUGAUGGAGACAGCAGACUGGUUCCAGAUAUGUCACAGGGCCCUUCACAACCCCACUUUUUUUGUGUGUGUGUGUGGCUCUCUGAAGCUCAGUGCCAUCAGCAGCCUGUCACCUGAGGGUCUGAACUGGGGCAGGAGUCCCUGGUGACUGAGCACAUGAUUCCUUUGUGCUGCUCACUUCCUGCAGCACCUGGGUAGGGAUUUCCCCUGAAACAGCUGUGAGCAAUCUCAGUUUGGGGCUAAUGAAGCUCUGAGGAUUUAAAGGAACAUUUAUGCAAAAUGUUGUCUCCUGCAGUGCUCUGUUUGAGGGAUGGGUGGUUGAUGAGAAUGUUAUGGCUGGAGGAGCCUCAUUCAGUUGACACAGCAGUAGAAUUGUGAUAGAGGGCAGAGAGGAGGGGCUGAGUAAGGCAGAUCCUGAGCGAGGACCAAGGCCGGCGUUGGGCCUUCAGGAUGCAGCAGCACCUGAUGCUUCCAUGGCCCACAGCUUCUGCUCCUUUCAUCCACUGCAGAAACCACGCAGAGUGCCAGAGAGCUCAGUGCAGUCACUGCCUCAGGGCUGGGUCCUGAGGUGUCCAACCGUACGACUCUGGGACUCUAUGAGGCGAUGGUUUCGCUGAUCUGAACGUACCAACUGUGACCAGAGCCGAACAGUGCCAUGCAGUGCUGGGCCGUGUCUGAGGUGGCUGGGGCGGUUCUGGGGUUGAAGUGUUUGGUUACAGCAGGCGUUGUGGUCUUCUAAAUGAGAACCACCGCAAGGCCCUCAGACCUAACAACGGGCGCCAGGAAAUAGAACGACAAGAGAAAAGCGAACCGCCCUCAGUCGGAUUUGCGCGAACACGGGGCGAGGCCGCUUCCGGGCAGGCGCGAAGCGCCGCUCCCGCGCUGCAGGGAUUCGAACCAGGCCCCGCCCCAACCUGGCGGUGGGUGGGACUUGUUCCGCAUUGGCUUGUAGGGAUUACGCAGCGCGCUCCUAUUGGCUGGAGCACACCGGGCUGGGAGGCGGGGAGAGAGGCGAUGUUUUAAAAGGCGACGGGAGCGGCCGCCAUUUUGUGUGGGAGGCAGAGAAACGGCAGAGUGGUAGGUUUCUGCUGCGCGAGGGUUCGGGGAAGUGACGGCGGAGAGCGGCGGGAUCGGUUCGGAAGAGCCCGCUUGUGUCUGUGGCUGCAGGCGGACGGGAAGGACAGAAGUCGUUGGACUUCUCCCCUUGGAGUAUAGAGCCGAGAAUCCGAUGUUGGGCUCGGCUGCCUGGCUGAAUACAGCGGAUCGGCCCAUGAAAACCUCUGUUCCUAGCCAAAGGAAGGAGUCUAGCGAAAGGCAGCACCUACUCUUUCAGGCUUGGAAGCAAGAAAGGGGGCAGGAAUUGGA
RNA transcript from Numida meleagris (helmeted guineafowl), 2852 nucleotides. It is a transcript of the gene named proline rich nuclear receptor coactivator 2, with no coding region annotated. The record is from RefSeq and is a predicted model, not a curated record. NCBI's taxonomy places the organism in Eukaryota, Metazoa, Chordata, Aves, Galliformes, Numididae. The transcript has 3 exons.